Cornus florida is the source of this 2197-nucleotide RNA transcript. RefSeq lists it as uncharacterized. The transcript is spliced from 12 exons. Lineage: Eukaryota; Viridiplantae; Streptophyta; Magnoliopsida; Cornales; Cornaceae. The record is from RefSeq and is a predicted model, not a curated record.
CUUUACCAAAAAAAAAAAAAAAAAAUCUCAUCGCUUCAUAGUACAGCCGUUCUAGAGAUUACCAAAAACCCUCACUCUCUCAUCCCUCACGGCCUGCCACCGAAGCCGGCUUCGUCAACCUCACCGACCACCCACUGGUUUUACGGCCUACGGUUAUUCUUAUAUUGGAGCGCCUUUUAAGGAGGUCAGAAUUCAGAGCAGAUACUGUAAUUGGGGCAAGGAUGUCUGAGGUUGGAUAUGCUCAUCUAAAGGAAGAAAUUGGUCAUGAUGUCAUAGCAACAUUGGCAGAGAUUCUUUGUUAUGAUGACAAACCUCUAUUUCUCUCUUUUAUGAAGGAGCUAUUUCAAAGAAAAGUACCAAAAACAGAAGAAGUUAGAAAGAAGGAAUCAUCUGAUUAUCAAGCUAAAUAUUGCCCACCAAAAAUUUUGCAUGGAAUUUGUAAGUCUGGCGUAAUAGAUUGUGCCAUCGCUUUUCUCGGAGGGGAGACCGGUUUCAUCGCUGAUCUCAAUAUUCCCUUUAACGAUGGAUUAUAUCCAUUGCAUUUAGCAGCUAAUGGUUUAUCAUAUGAAAUGAUUGCGACAUUGCUUAGCCAUGGAGCUCAGACUGAUGUCAGAACCAUAGAGGGUAAAUUUAGGGGCGACUUGUUUCCUCUCAAUGUAUCACUUGAAACAGUAAGUUAUCAUCGAUCCUUGAUUGAUUGGACCCCAAAACAAUCUAUCUUCAAAUUGAUCGUUGUUCUUUGUCUGCCUCAAAUGAAAGUACCAUUAGAAAUUAAUAGGUUGCUGGCAUGGAACACAAAGGAGGUUGAUAAAAUAUUUAUUCAUUAUGCUAUGGAGGGAGAACUUAUUGAGAUGGCUACUCUACUGAUGGUUGCUCGAGAAAAGUUAAUCCCUUUGAGCAUGUCAAUACGCAAAAGCAUCAUUGAAGAGAUUGUAGGACUAACUGAAGAUGAAAUCAAAUUGAUCGGAAGUCACAAGAAUGAUAAGUUGGUUGAAGAGAUUGUAGGACUAACUCAAGAUGAAAGCAAGUUGCUCGGAAUUAAUAAGAUUGGUAAGUUGGUUCGGUCGCUUAACGAUAUUAAGGCAGCGAUGACGCGGGGAAUAUUGUUGCUCAAAGUGUUUGAGAAGGCUGGUGUUGCUCUUGAAAAAUACAGGCAGUUAGUACAGAGUGAAAUGCCAAAAGAAAAGGUGGUCAACGACAUUAAGGCGCUGCUUGAGAGAGCCGGGUUUGUUAUAAACGACAAAGAUGUUGAUUUAAGUGACAUUGACUGUGAAAGUGAAAGUAUCAAAGAGGCAACGGAAGAAUUAGAAGAGAGUUUAACAUUGAGGUCUUAUUCAAAGGAUCUCUGGAUGCCACCUCCCUCACUGUCUAACAGUUUUUCCAAGGAAAAGAGUUCGGUCAUAUAUAAAACUUUUAGAACAUUCAUCGAAUAUGGGCCCCUUGUUUUUACACCUUCGUCACGGUCAUACGUUACAUUCCCGCUCAUGGAUAAAAAGACAAAUCGUGUUGCUAUAAGUGUUAACUUUUCGAGAACCCCUAGACCCCCAGCAAUGAUAGUAUCUGCGGCAUAUCUUCUAUCAAGAAAUCAGUUUGCCUCCUUGGCAUUAGCAAUCAAGAAGAGGUUAACUUGCAUAUGAUUGGCAAAUAAGAAGAGAGUUUAACAUUGAGGUCUUAUUCAAAGGAUCUCUGCAUGCCACCUCCCUCACUGUCUAACAGUUUUUCCAAGGAAAAGGUGUUAAAUAUUCGAGAACUGGUAGACCCCCAGCAAUGAGAGUAUCUGCGGCAUAUCUUCUAUCAAGAAAUCAGUUUGCCUCCUUGGCAUUAGCAAUCAAGAAGAGUAUAACUUGCAUAUGAUUGGCAAAUAAGUCAAUGGACUCAUGAUUGCACUGGGGGUUGACUUGGCCACUGUUUGAAUUGUAAAUGGAAGCUGUUAUAAGGGCACUAAAGGCCGUGCAUUUUCUUAAGAAGCAAAGCUGGGAGGCUUAUGCAAGUGACAAAUAAAAUACAGAAGAUCCUUCUUCUACUCAUGAUGCCGUGUUUUAUAGUUGUUAUUUUAUUAUUUAUUUGAGUUCUAAUCUCUCAACUUUGGCUGAGAGGAAGCUUUAGUAAGUUAGUCUUGUAACUCUAUGUUUUCAAUUGUUAAAUUUGUUUGAUGUUCAUACUAACUCAAUAAAAUAUUUAAACAAUUUUAAAUGCA